RNAcentral lists this ribosomal RNA (498 nucleotides) under uncultured Glomeromycotina. Its description in RNAcentral is "partial small subunit ribosomal RNA". It matches the Rfam family "Eukaryotic small subunit ribosomal RNA", at positions 591 to 1092 of the family's 1831-position model. The record is from RNAcentral. Lineage: Eukaryota; Fungi; Glomeromycota.
CCAAUAGCGUAUAUUAAAGUUGCUGCAGUUAAAAAGCUCGUAGUUGAAUUUCGGGACUAAUAUGUCGGUCGUGCCUCGGUACGUACUGGCUUAUUGGUUUCUCCUUUCUGAAGAACCAUGAUGUCAUUUAUUUGGUGUCGUGGGGAAUCAGGACUGUUACUUUGAAAAAAUUAGAGUGUUUAAAGCAGGCUCACGCUUGAAUACAUUAGCAUGGAAUAAUGAAAUAGGACGUUUGAUUCUAUUUUGUUGGUUUCUAGGAUCGACGUAAUGAUUAAUAGGGAUAGUUGGGGGCAUUAGUAUUCAAUUGUCAGAGGUGAAAUUCUUGGAUUUAUUGAAGACUAACUACUGCGAAAGCAUUUGCCAAGGAUGUUUUCAUUAAUCAAGAACGAAAGUUAGGGGAUCGAAGACGAUCAGAUACCGUCGUAGUCUUAACCAUAAACUAUGCCGACUAGGGAUCGGAUGAUGUUAAUUUUUUAAUGACUCAUUCGGCGCCUUAAG